UGUUCAGUCUGGAGAAGAGGAGGCUCAGGGGGAGACCUUACCACUCUCUGCAACUGCCUGAAAGGAGAUUGUAGCAAGGUUCUCCAUGGAUGAAGUCUGCAAGUAACAUUCAGUGGUAUCGAUUGCAGUGUAAUAAAUCAAGCAAAAUCAUUUGUCCUCCAGGUUUUCCCUUCAACACAGUAGGGGAAGAAACACCUCGCAUUACUCUUCCUCCUCUUCUUCAGACCUUCUCUACAAAGUCCAAGCAGCCCCAAGCCACUCCACAGGGAAAAUAGAUGAUACAACAUGCUGGAUGAAGGCCUAAAGAAAAAGCUGACUGAGAUCCGGAGACGAGACAGAAUGAGAUCUUCCAAGUUAGGCUGUUAAUCACAGCGUCAAACUGAGGAAGACAACUUCCUGGUCUGAGAGAAACAACAGCUCAUACCUCUGCUUCAAACCCUUUAAAGAUCCUAUGAGAUUCAAGUGCUAAUUCACACUGCAUGAUCGGAAAGAACAACUGGUUCACAGAUGGCGAGUUUUUCAGCUUUGAUGUCUCCUGUUUUGAAACAAGAUACAAGAAAUGAAAAGGAAAAAAUGUGUCUCGAGCUUCCAAAGCUGUGUAUAGCCAUAAUAAUCUUAUUUUGACUGGUUUUUAUCUAUUUAGCUUUUUCAAAAAUUAAAGCUUUACUACUAUG
Gallus gallus (chicken) is the source of this 674-nucleotide long non-coding RNA. The record is from Ensembl. Lineage: Eukaryota; Metazoa; Chordata; Aves; Galliformes; Phasianidae.